UCCUCUGUAGCUCAGUUGGUUAGAGCGCUGCACCGGAACCGCAGGGCCGUAGGUUCAAUUCCUACCAGAGGAC
This 73-nucleotide transfer RNA is filed under the name Paramuricea clavata. It matches the Rfam family "tRNA". From Rfam's summary of the family: Transfer RNA (tRNA) molecules are approximately 80 nucleotides in length. Their secondary structure includes four short double-helical elements and three loops (D, anti-codon, and T loops). Further hydrogen bonds mediate the characteristic L-shaped molecular structure. tRNAs have two regions of fundamental functional importance: the anti-codon, which is responsible for specific mRNA codon recognition, and the 3' end, to which the tRNAs corresponding amino acid is attached (by aminoacyl-tRNA synthetases). tRNAs cope with the degeneracy of the genetic code in two manners: having more than one tRNA (with a specific anti-codon) for a particular amino acid; and 'wobble' base-pairing, i.e. permitting non-standard base-pairing at the 3rd anti-codon position. Lineage: Eukaryota; Metazoa; Cnidaria; Anthozoa; Malacalcyonacea; Plexauridae. The record is from Rfam by way of RNAcentral.